UCCAAGCAAGCUGUCACACCUACAGAAUCACCAUUUGUUUUCUUAACAAAGCUUCAGGGGGCGCCAGGCUCUCAUUGAAAUUUCAUUAAUCUAAUGGAGUAAAGUCCUAUAGAAAAAAAUCAAAUUCUCGUUGGACGAGAUGCUACCUGGGAAAGAUAACCUCUGUUUGAACUCUCAGACUCGGAUCGCUCUGCUAUUAGUCUGAGGAAACAGACAGCAACAACGCUGAUUACAGCCACCGGCCUCAACAAUUUUUUUUUCUAACUAGCAAUUUCGAGUGCAAGUGCCACAGUGUCAGCUAAAGAAACACAACUGUGGGUUUUCUGCAGAGCGAAAUGGUUCUGAAAUGUCACUGAAUAGCUCACAAAGGACGCCAAUCUACGACAACAGAGACAUAAGCAUAUAGGAGAAAGGGCCCACACAUCCUCCCUUCAAAGGUCACAUAAAGCUUACUGCAGGUCAGGAAAUGUCUUCUGUCUCCAAAGCAUCUGACAGGAGUUUGGAAAGAAAAAAAACCACAGAAGAGAAGUAAUUUAGCAUGCGAUGCAUACUUUACAGAUGGAUCCUACCUUCGGAUGCUUAUUAAAUCUAUGCAUGAUUGCGCUGGAGAAAAUUAAU
Canis lupus familiaris (dog) is the source of this 618-nucleotide long non-coding RNA. RefSeq lists it as uncharacterized. The transcript is spliced from 3 exons. Lineage: Eukaryota; Metazoa; Chordata; Mammalia; Carnivora; Canidae. The record is from RefSeq and is a predicted model, not a curated record.